Molecule: long non-coding RNA, 285 nt
Filed under: Medicago truncatula (barrel medic)
Lineage: Eukaryota; Viridiplantae; Streptophyta; Magnoliopsida; Fabales; Fabaceae
Description: lncRNA gene36185
Source: RNAcentral
UGUGCUUUAAUUGCAAUGGAGAAGGUCACAUUAGUUCUCAGUGUACUCAGCCUAAGAGGGCGCCGACUACUGGUAGGGUCUUUGCUUUGACUGGGACUCAGACAGAGAAUGAGGAUCGUUUGAUCAGAGAGAUGGUGAUCGUGCUUAGUGUGUAGUUGCCGUCGUGAGUGGCCUUGCCUUCACUGUGUCGUCUAGGUCGCUCUGAUACGUAACGGGAUGGGGUUAUAUGCUAUAACAUGCUUCAUUCUCUUACGUGGAUAAUAUGUUAUUUUUAUUAUGUUAUGG